Molecule: RNA transcript, 410 nt
Organism: Onthophagus taurus
Lineage: Eukaryota; Metazoa; Arthropoda; Insecta; Coleoptera; Scarabaeidae
Gene name: fibrinogen-like protein 1
Source: RefSeq, a predicted model, not a curated record
UAAAUAAAACCGCAACACAUUACAGAUAACUCAUUUAUUGUUCAUUAAUGUAAUGGUGAAGAUGAAGAAUUUCUUACUUAUUCUAAUUUUUAGUCAAGUUGUCAAAACACAACUGCACUAUAAUUCUCCAACUUCCAUAAAAACAUUGAUGAGUGACAUUGUAGAAAUGAAAAAAUCUAUUUCCGAGUUGGGUGAGAAUUAUUUAAAGAUUUAAUAAAUUUUUCACAUCAGCAGGUUACCUUAAAGAGAAAAAACAACGAGGUGUGAUGAAAUUGGUUCAUAUCAACCUUUUUUUCAUACAUUACUAAGUACUCUUCAGCUAUCGAUUAAUAAGCUAUCAUUCCUUGAUGAAAAAAUAAACAUUAAUACCAAGAUUGAAAUUAAAAUAAAUGAGUUAGAAGAAAAAUUAG